GAGUUUGAUCCUGGCUCAGGAUGAACGCUAGCGACAGGCUUAACACAUGCAAGUCGAGGGGCAGCGGGGGUAGCAAUACCCGCCGGCGACCGGCGCACGGGUGAGUAACGCGUAUGCAACUUACCUAUCAGAGGGGGAUAACCCGGCGAAAGUCGGACUAAUACCGCAUGAAGCAGGGGCCCCGCAUGGGGAUAUUUGCUAAAGAUUCAUCGCUGAUAGAUAGGCAUGCGUUCCAUUAGGCAGUUGGCGGGGUAACGGCCCACCAAACCGACGAUGGAUAGGGGUUCUGAGAGGAAGGUCCCCCACAUUGGUACUGAGACACGGACCAAACUCCUACGGGGGGCAGCAGUGAGGAAUAUUGGUCAAUGGGCGCGAGCCUGAACCAGCCAAGUCGCGUGAGGGAUGAAGGUUCUAUGGAUCGUAAACCUCUUUUAUAAGGGAAUAAAGUGUGGGACGUGUCCUAUUUUGUAUGUACCUUAUGAAUAAGGAUCGGCUAACUCCGUGCCAGCAGCCGCGGUAAUACGGAGGAUCCGAGCGUUAUCCGGAUUUAUUGGGUUUAAAGGGUGCGUAGGCGGCCUUUUAAGUCAGCGGUGAAAGUCUGUGGCUCAACCAUAGAAUUGCCGUUGAAACUGGGGGGCUUGAGUAUGUUUGAGGCAGGCGGAAUGCGUGGUGUAGCGGUGAAAUGCUUAGAUAUCACGCAGAACCCCGAUUGCGAAGGCAGCCUGCCAAGCCAUGACUGACGCUGAUGCACGAAAGCGUGGGGAUCAAACAGGAUUAGAUACCCUGGUAGUCCACGCAGUAAACGAUGAUCACUAGCUGUUUGCGAUACAGUGUAAGCGGCACAGCGAAAGCGUUAAGUGAUCCACCUGGGGAGUACGCCGGCAACGGUGAAACUCAAAGGAAUUGACGG
This 910-nucleotide ribosomal RNA is filed under the name uncultured bacterium. RNAcentral describes it as "bacterial SSU rRNA". It matches the Rfam family "Bacterial small subunit ribosomal RNA", at positions 9 to 916 of the family's 1533-position model. The record is from RNAcentral.